UUUAAUAGUGAACUUUUGUUUAGAAGGUGAUGUUGUUGGUGAUUUUAUUUGUUGAAAAUGCUCAACUUUUGGUGACUUUAAUAGUGAAUUAGUGUUUAGAAGGUGAUGUUGUUGGUAACUUUAUUUGUAGAAAAUGCUUAACUUUUGGUGACUUUAAUAGUGAAUUAGUUUCGUUGGUGCCUUUGUUAGUUGAAAAAGCUUAAGCUUUGGUAACUUUAAUAGUGAACUAGUGUUUAGGAGGUGAUGUUGUUGGUGACUUUAAUAGUGAAUUAGUUUCGUUGGUGCCUUUGUUAGUUGAAAAAGCUUAAGCUUUGGUAACUUUAAUAGUGAACUAGUGUUUAGGAGGUGAUGUUGUUGGUGACUUUAAUAGUGAAUUAGUUUCGUUGGUGCCUUUGUUAGUUGAAAAAGCUUAAGCUUUGGUAACUUUAAUAGUGAACUAGUGUUUAGGAGGUGAUGUUGUUGGUGACUUUA
Molecule: long non-coding RNA, 471 nt
Filed under: Capsicum annuum
Lineage: Eukaryota; Viridiplantae; Streptophyta; Magnoliopsida; Solanales; Solanaceae
Description: long non-coding RNA (CANN_LNC016409)
Source: RNAcentral